Molecule: ribosomal RNA, 1684 nt
Filed under: Choerodon schoenleinii (blackspot tuskfish)
Lineage: Eukaryota; Metazoa; Chordata; Actinopteri; Labriformes; Labridae
Description: 16S ribosomal RNA
Rfam family: Bacterial large subunit ribosomal RNA
Source: RNAcentral
CACCCAACAGCUAGCCCACCACAUCAAGACCAAUAAACCCCUAUAAAUAAACCCACACCCCCCAAACGCAACAAAACAAACCAUUUUUCCACCCAAGUAUGGGCGACAGAAAAGGACAAAGGAGCAACAGAAAAAGUACCGUAAGGGAAAGCUGAAAAAGAAAUGAAACAAACCAGUAAAGAAAGACAAAGCAGAGAUAAGCCCUCGUACCUUUUGCAUCAUGAUUUAGCCAGAAACAUUCGAGCAAAAUGAAUUUUAGUUCGACUCCCCGAAACUAAGCGAGCUACUCCGAGACAGCCUAUUAUAGGGCCAACCCUUCUCUGUGGCAAAAGAGUGGGAAGAACUCCGAGUAGAGGUGACAGACCUACCGAGCCUAGUGAUAGCUGGUUGCCUGAGAAAUGAAUAGGAGUUCAGCCUCUUGGCCUUCUACUUUCACCCCGUCCUCAACCCAGACGACCUAAAGAAGUCAAGAGAGUUAAUUGAAGGGGGUACAGCCCCUUUAAAUAAAGACACAACUUUAAUAGAAGGUUAAAGAUCAUAAUUACAAAGGACGCAUGUUCUAGUGGGCUUAAAAGCAGCCAUCCAAAUGAAAAGCGUUAAAGCUUAGACGUCCUACUAAUCCAAGAUUCCGAUAGCACAAUCUUAACCUCUAGAUCCUAACAGGCCGCCCCAUGCAUACAUGGGGGUGACCCUGCUAAAAUGAGUAAUAAGAGGGUAAAGACCCUCUCCCCGCACAAGUGUAAAUCAGAACGAACCCCCACUGAAAAUUAACGGCCCCAAACGAAGAGGGAAGUGGACCAAAGAUAUAUUGACCAGAAGGACGUCCAAAACAACCCGUUAACCCCACACUGGCGUGCCCCUGGGAAAGACUAAAAGAAAGAGAAGGAACUCGGCAAACACCUAAGCCUCGCCUGUUUACCAAAAACAUCGCCUCUUGCAAAAAUAAUGAAUAAGAGGUCCCGCCUGCCCUGUGACUACGUGUUUAACGGCCGCGGUAUUUUGACCGUGCGAAGGUAGCGCAAUCACUUGUCUUUUAAAUGGAGACCUGUAUGAAUGGCAUAACGAGGGCUUAACUGUCUCCUCUUUCCAGUCAAUGAAAUUGAUCUCCCCGUGCAGAAGCGGGGAUAACCUCAUAAGACGAGAAGACCCUAUGGAGCUUUAGACAUAAAGCAGAUCAUGUUAAGGACCCUCACACAAGAAUCAAAACAGGACGAAACCUGCCAGAAUGUCUUUGGUUGGGGCGACCACGGAGGAGAACACAUCCUCCAUGCGGAACGGGACCCAUCAGGUCCCAUAACCAAGAGCCUCCCGCUCUAAGUAUCAGAAACUUUUGACCCACCAGAUCCGGCCGAAGCCGAUCAACGGACCGAGUUACCCUAGGGAUAACAGCGCAAUCCCCUUUCAGAGCCCAUAUCGCCAAGGGGGUUUACGACCUCGAUGUUGGAUCAGGACAUCCUAAUGGUGCAGCCGCUGUUAAGGGUUCGUUUGUUCAACGAUUAAAGUCCUACGUGAUCUGAGUUCAGACCGGAGCAAUCCAGGUCAGUUUCUAUCUAUGCCAUGCUCUUCCCUAGUACGAAAGGACCGAGAAGAGGAGGCCCAUGCUCGAGAUACGCCUCACCCUCAUUUAAUGAAAUCAACUAAAAUGAGAAAGAGGGCAUAUCCCGAGCGUCCGAAAACACGACGU